ACGCACGCUGGCGGCGUGCCUAAUACCUGCAAGUUGAGCGCUGAAGAUUGGUGCUUGCACCAAUUUGAAGAGCAGCGAACGGGUGAGUAACGCGUGGGGAAUCUGCCUUUGAGCGGGGGACAACAUUUGGAAACGAAUGCUAAUACCGCAUAACAACUUUAAACAUAAGUUUUAAGUUUGAAAGAUGCAAUUGCAUCACUCAAAGAUGAUCCCGCGUUGUAUUAGCUAGUUGGUGAGGUAAAGGCUCACCAAGGCGAUGAUACAUAGCCGACCUGAGAGGGUGAUCGGCCACAUUGGGACUGAGACACGGCCCAAACUCCUACGGGAGGCAGCAGUAGGGAAUCUUCGGCAAUGGACGAAAGUCUGACCGAGCAACGCCGCGUGAGUGAAGAAGGUUUUCGGAUCGUAAAACUCUGUUGGUAGAGAAGAACGUUGGUGAGAGUGGAAAGCUCAUCAAGUGACGGUAACUACCCAGAAAGGGACGGCUAACUACGUG
RNAcentral lists this ribosomal RNA (496 nucleotides) under uncultured bacterium. RNAcentral's name for it is "partial 16S ribosomal RNA". It matches the Rfam family "Bacterial small subunit ribosomal RNA", at positions 29 to 507 of the family's 1533-position model. The record is from RNAcentral.